This is a long non-coding RNA of Lolium rigidum, 649 nucleotides long. RefSeq lists it as uncharacterized. The transcript has 5 exons. Lineage: Eukaryota; Viridiplantae; Streptophyta; Magnoliopsida; Poales; Poaceae. The record is from RefSeq and is a predicted model, not a curated record.
CGCCGACGUGCGGGUGCUGGCUGCGCGUCCUCAGCGAGCAGCUAGGGCGUACUCAGUCCGAGUCGGCCAAAGCCGACAACAUCGGUAUCCAGGGAUAUCGAUGAAGGGCAGAAAGGACAAGGAAAGGCAAUACCCCAUCGAGUAAUGGGACCCCAACAGCACUCCCAUGACUUUGAUUGAGGAUUUGAAUGCAUGCAUGGAUCAGAAGGAUGACCAACAUUUUAUUAUAUUCAAAGAACAACUUCACUAUUUACAGGAUGGUAGAGACCUUCUGUGAAAAUUGGAGAACAAAUUUGCCUCUCAUCGUAUUCCCUCGGUUAUCAGCUAUGACUUUGCAAAAAGCAUGUAGAUUUACAUACCCCUAUCCUCUUUUUUCUUGCUGUGUUGGGCUGUUGGUAGUCCAGAUGUGAGAAGUUACAGUCUAUUUUCUUGAAUAUAGCACCCUGCUAUGGAUACUUUUGCGCCUGAUAAGUUAAUCUCCCAUUACAUAUUUGAUGCUUCAGUUCAGUGCUAACAAUUAAAAUAGCUGAUCUCUCACACCUCCUCCUUCAUAAGUGUGCAAUGCUUCUCAUGGUAAUCACAUGUUAUUUUUAAGGUCCAAGCCAUGUUCAAAUUUUUUUUAUCAAAUGUUAUUAUUCAUUAGUAAUUC